GGAUGAGCCCGCGGCCUAUCAGCUUGUUGGUGAGGUAAUGGCUCACCAAGGCGACGACGGGUAGCCGGCCUGAGAGGGCGACCGGCCACACUGGGACUGAGACACGGCCCAGACUCCUACGGGAGGCAGCAGUGGGGAAUAUUGCACAAUGGGCGAAAGCCUGAUGCAGCGACGCCGCGUGAGGGAUGACGGCCUUCGGGUUGUAAACCUCUUUCAGCAGGGAAGAAGCGAAAGUGACGGUACCUGCAGAAGAAGCGCCGGCUAACUACGUGCCAGCAGCCGCGGUAAUACGUAGGGCGCGAGCGUUGUCCGGAAUUAUUGGGCGUAAAGAGCUCGUAGGCGGCUUGUCACGUCGGUUGUGAAAGCCCGGGGCUUAACCCCGGGUCUGCAGUCGAUACGGGCAGGCUAGAGUUCGGUAGGGGAGAUCGGAAUUCCUGGUGUAGCGGUGAAAUGCGCAGAUAUCAGGAGGAACACCGGUGGCGAAGGCGGAUCUCUGGGCCGAUACUGACGCUGAGGAGCGAAAGCGUGGGGAGCGAACAGGAUUAGAUACCCUGGUAGUCCACGCCGUAAACGGUGGGCACUAGGUGUGGGCGACAUUCCACGUCGUCCGUGCCGCAGCUAACGCAUUAAGUGCCCCGC
This 639-nucleotide ribosomal RNA is filed under the name uncultured Streptomyces sp. Its description in RNAcentral is "bacterial SSU rRNA". It matches the Rfam family "Bacterial small subunit ribosomal RNA", at positions 223 to 872 of the family's 1533-position model. Lineage: Bacteria; Bacillati; Actinomycetota; Actinomycetes; Kitasatosporales; Streptomycetaceae. The record is from RNAcentral.